Molecule: ribosomal RNA, 467 nt
Filed under: uncultured bacterium
Lineage: Bacteria
Description: bacterial SSU rRNA
Rfam family: Bacterial small subunit ribosomal RNA
Source: RNAcentral
GACGAACGCUGGCGGCGCGCCUAACACAUGCAAGUCGAACGAGAAAGAGGGAGCUUGCUCCCUUGAUCGAGUGGCGAACGGGUGAGUAACGCGUGAGGAACCUGCCUCAAAGAGGGGGACAACAGUUGGAAACGACUGCUAAUACCGCAUAAGCCCACGGCUCGGCAUCGAGCAGAGGGAAAAGGAGCGAUCCGCUUUGAGAUGGCCUCGCGUCCGAUUAGCUAGUUGGUGAGGUAACGGCCCACCAAGGCGACGAUCGGUAGCCGGACUGAGAGGUUGAACGGCCACAUUGGGACUGAGACACGGCCCAGACUCCUACGGGAGGCAGCAGUGGGGAAUAUUGCACAAUGGGGGAAACCCUGAUGCAGCGACGCCGCGUGGAGGAAGAAGGUCUUCGGAUUGUAAACUCCUGUUGUUGAGGAAGAUAAUGACGGUACUCAACAAAGGAAGUGACGGCUAACUACGUG